AUUUGAAAAGAAAUUAACUACAAAACAACCCCACCAACAAAAAAAAUCAAAUAAUUUUCCUCAAACCAUUAACCUCGAACCAUUACCCUCAAAAUAGACAUAUAAAAAAAUCGAAUUCUAUACGUGUUAACAAAGAAAUACAUGGAGAUUAAAAGGGUGUAUGCAAUUAGGCAUAAACUCAAGAAAACAAAGCACAACCAAACCCACAUAUGAGCAGGAGCACCCUUCCAGCAAAAAUUCAUAAAGAAAUACAUAGAAAAUGCCAAAAAAAAAAAAAGCAAGAAGGAAA
Molecule: unclassified non-coding RNA, 289 nt
Filed under: Hevea brasiliensis (rubber tree)
Lineage: Eukaryota; Viridiplantae; Streptophyta; Magnoliopsida; Malpighiales; Euphorbiaceae
Source: RNAcentral